UCUUACGGGAUCCAAAUCGAGCGAUCCUUUUAGCAUCUAAGUAACUGCGCUCACAUCAAGACAUAACCGCGGUACCCAGCACCUUCGUUGAUUUUUCUCAUCAGCCACAGAGGACAUUAAUUGCUCUCUCUCUCACACAUCUAGAUCGGAGAGUUGAGGUCGCCGGAGAGUUGUGGUCACCGGCAACUACCGCAGCCAUGCCCUGCAACCAGCACCGCUGCCUCCCUCGGCUCGCCUCGUCGCCUCCCCCCGGCUCGCCUCGCCUCUCAUUCCCCCUCCGGCGGGGAGGACGCCCACCUCGACCACUAGCUGCGGUGCCCAUUCUCCAUGGCGCGCCGCGGGAGGACGCCCAACUCCGCUUCCGCGGAAGCCCCGAGCGCCUCCUCUUACGCGCCGGCGGAGCUGUCGGGCGCCGGUGGCAGCUGGGCUUCCUGCAGCGCGAGGGCGUCGACGUUGUGCGCUGCCAUCGGAUGCAGCAGAGCCGGAUCGAACUUGGUCUCGGCCAGUUCUAGGCCGCGUUCUGCUGGCCGUUGAAGCCGGGCGCCGCCCCUGACCCGGAGGCCAUGUAAUUGAACGGGUCGCCCCAGACGGCGCCUCUAGCGCCGGUGUCGGCGAGCGGGUGGUUGCGUCGGUCAUAGAUCCCCAUAGGCGCCGUCGCUGAGGGCACGGGCAUGUACCUGCUGCCGGGGCUGCCGACCCUCUGCUCAGUCGUCGCCAAAUUAAACAGCAGUUCAUGCAAGGAAAUGUGGUCAUCAUAUAAGACAGGGAUCUGCACUUCGAUUUUGAUUAGCCCCAAGAUUUGUUACAUGCAGGCACUUCUAUACAUGUGCAACAGUUUGUUAUAUCAGGUUAUUUUUGGAAGUUCUGGUGAUACAACUAUGACAGACCUUGGGUAUAGUUAAUCCUGAGCUUAAUUAGGUGUCGAAGAUAUACACAGCAUGAGUAAAGUUUAGCUUGGUCGGGUUUUGCACAACACAUUGGAUGGAUCUUUGUAUAGCCUGCCUCUUCUUUUCUAUUUGCUUAAUGGCAUGUAAUUAAGAAUCGUUCUCAUUUGUAUUGGCUUGUAGUAGUACAACUUUAAACUUUGGAUAA
This is a long non-coding RNA of Lolium perenne, 1092 nucleotides long. RefSeq lists it as uncharacterized. NCBI's taxonomy places the organism in Eukaryota, Viridiplantae, Streptophyta, Magnoliopsida, Poales, Poaceae. The record is from RefSeq and is a predicted model, not a curated record.